Molecule: non-coding RNA, 105 nt
Organism: Paramuricea clavata
Lineage: Eukaryota; Metazoa; Cnidaria; Anthozoa; Malacalcyonacea; Plexauridae
Source: the annotation of a GenBank genome assembly
AAAUUAAGGUUUAAUUUCACUCGUGUUUUCAAAGUUUCACAAAUUACAUGCAAACUUGGCAAUUUGUGAAACUUUGAAAAUACGCGUGAAAUUAAACCUUAAUUU